RNAcentral lists this ribosomal RNA (524 nucleotides) under uncultured delta proteobacterium. Its description in RNAcentral is "bacterial SSU rRNA". It matches the Rfam family "Bacterial small subunit ribosomal RNA", at positions 9 to 509 of the family's 1533-position model. The record is from RNAcentral. Lineage: Bacteria; Deltaproteobacteria.
GAGUUUGAUCUUGGCUCAGAACGAACGCUGGCGGCGUGCCUAAUACAUGCAAGUCGAACGAGAAAGUGGCUUCGGCCAUGAGUACAGUGGCAGACGGGUGAGUAAUACAUAGGUAACCUUCCCUUAAGUUGGGGACAACCUUCCGAAAGGAGGGCUAAUACCGAAUAAGACCACAGUGACAUAAGUCACAGGGGUUAAAGACGGCCUCUACUUGUAAGCUUUCACUUAAGGAUGGGCUUAUGCACCAUUAGCUAGUUGGUAGGGUAAUGGCCUACCAAGGCUUCGAUGGUUAGCUGAUCUGAGAGGUUGAUCAGCCACACUGGAACUGAGACACGGUCCAGACUCCUACGGGAGGCAGCAGUAGGGAAUAUUGCGCAAUGGAGGAAACUCUGACGCAGCGACGCCGCGUGGGUGACGAAGGCCUUCGGGGUCGUAAAGCCCUGUCGGAAGGGACGAAAGACUUGUUGAUAAUACCAACAAGAGAUGACGGUACCUUCAAAGGAAGCACCGGCUAACUACGUGCC